Molecule: ribosomal RNA, 500 nt
Filed under: Listeria monocytogenes
Lineage: Bacteria; Bacillati; Bacillota; Bacilli; Caryophanales; Listeriaceae
Description: partial 23S ribosomal RNA
Rfam family: Bacterial large subunit ribosomal RNA
Source: RNAcentral
GAGAGAAUCCUAAGGUGAGCGAGAGAACUCUCGUUAAGGAACUCGGCAAAAUGACCCCGUAACUUCGGGAGAAGGGGUGCUCUAUUAGGGUGCAAGCCCGAGAGAGCCGCAGUGAAUAGGCCCAGGCGACUGUUUAGCAAAAACACAGGUCUCUGCAAAACCGUAAGGUGACGUAUAGGGGCUGACGCCUGCCCGGUGCUGGAAGGUUAAGAGGAGUGCUUAGCUUCGGCGAAGGUACGAAUUGAAGCCCCAGUAAACGGCGGCCGUAACUAUAACGGUCCUAAGGUAGCGAAAUUCCUUGUCGGGUAAGUUCCGACCCGCACGAAAGGCGCAACGAUCUGGGCACUGUCUCAACGAGAGACUCGGUGAAAUUAUAGUACCUGUGAAGAUGCAGGUUACCCGCGACAGGACGGAAAGACCCCGUGGAGCUUUACUGCAACCUGAUAUGGAAUGUUUGUACCGCUUGUACAGGAUAGGUAGGAGCCGAAGAGACGUGUGCG